RNAcentral lists this ribosomal RNA (279 nucleotides) under uncultured bacterium. RNAcentral describes it as "partial 16S ribosomal RNA". It matches the Rfam family "Bacterial small subunit ribosomal RNA", at positions 506 to 784 of the family's 1533-position model. The record is from RNAcentral.
UGCCAGCCGCCGCGGUAAUACGGAGGGUGCAAGCGUUAAUCGGAAUUACUGGGCGUAAAGCGCGCGUAGGCGGAUUAGUAAGUUAGGGGUGAAAUCCCGGGGCUCAACCCCGGAACUGCCUCUAAUACUGCUAGUCUUGAGUUCGAGAGAGGUGAGUGGAAUUCCGAGUGUAGAGGUGAAAUUCGUAGAUAUCAGGAGGAACACCGAUGGCGAAGGCAGCUUUCUGGACAGAUACUGACGCUGAGGCGCAAAGGCGUGGGUAGCGAACGGGAUUAGAUA